CGGUACUUUGUGGAAUGCAUGAG
This 23-nucleotide microRNA is filed under the name Panagrellus redivivus. RNAcentral describes it as "prd-miR-7870-5p". Lineage: Eukaryota; Metazoa; Nematoda; Chromadorea; Rhabditida; Panagrolaimidae. The record is from miRBase by way of RNAcentral.